CCUACGGGAGGCAGCAGUAGGGAAUAUUGCUCAAUGGGGGAAACCCUGAAGCAGCAACGCCGCGUGGAGGAUGAAGGUUUUCGGAGUGUAAACUCCUUUUGUUAGAGAAGAUAAUGACGGUAUCUAACGAAUAAGCACCGGCUAACUCCGUGCCAGCAGCCGCGGUAAUACGGAGGGUGCAAGCGUUACUCGGAAUCACUGGGCGUAAAGAGCGCGUAGGCGGGACAGCAAGUCAGAUGUGAAAUCCUAGGGCUUAACCAUAGAACUGCAUUUGAUACUGUUAGUCUAGAGUAUGGGAGCGGUAGGCGGAAUGUUUGGUGUAGCGGUGAAAUCCGUAGAGAUCAUGAGGAACACUCAUUGCGAAGGCGACCUACUAGAACAUAACUGACGUUGAUGCGCGAAAGCGUGGGGAGCAAACAGGAUUAGAUACCCUAGUAGUC
Molecule: ribosomal RNA, 440 nt
Filed under: uncultured bacterium
Lineage: Bacteria
Description: partial 16S ribosomal RNA
Rfam family: Bacterial small subunit ribosomal RNA
Source: RNAcentral